This 468-nucleotide ribosomal RNA is filed under the name uncultured bacterium. RNAcentral's name for it is "partial 16S ribosomal RNA". It matches the Rfam family "Bacterial small subunit ribosomal RNA", at positions 28 to 507 of the family's 1533-position model. The record is from RNAcentral.
GACGAACGCUGGCGGCGUGCUUAACACAUGCAAGUCGAACGGAAAGGCCCUGCUUUUGUGGGGUGCUCGAGUGGCGAACGGGUGAGUAACACGUGAGUAACCUGCCCUUGACUUUGGGAUAACUUCAGGAAACUGGGGCUAAUACCGGAUAGGAGCUCCUGCUGCAUGGUGGGGGUUGGAAAGUUUCGGCGGUUGGGGAUGGACUCGCGGCUUAUCAGCUUGUUGGUGGGGUAGUGGCUUACCAAGGCUUUGACGGGUAGCCGGCCUGAGAGGGUGACCGGCGACAUUGGGACUGAGAUACGGCCCAGACUCCUACGGGAGGCAGCGGUGGGGAAUAUUGCACAAUGGGCGGAAGCCAGAUGCAGCAACGCCGCGUGCGGGAUGACGGCCUUCGGGUUGUAAACCGCUGUCGCAUGUGACGAAGCGUGAGUGACGGUAAUGGGUAAAGAAGCACCGGCUAACUACGUG